ACUCACUGUCAGACACUGCAGAGUGAGAAACAGAUGAUGGUUCUGUGGCAAACGUCCUUUUGCUGAAUAUUCUACCUACGGUGAGUGCAAUGAUUGAAAGAUGAGUUCAAAUACUGAGGCAUUUAUAGCAUCCAGCUAUUAUUGUUGCUCCUCUGGUUCUUUCUGGGCUCAAUGGACGUCUCUGAUUUCAACAAUUCCCUUUAACAAUGUAUAACAGACGAUGUAAUCUGAAGUUCUGUGGAACCAUCCCAGGAACACACGGAGAUUCUUGAAAACACCCCAAAUGUGGCUCUUUAAUUAUCCGGCAGCAUGUUGUUUAGUAGCAGAUGAAAUACCAAAAAUCUUUGGAAGGAGAAAUGUUUUCAGGACUAUAAGGCUAAAUUGGAAAUGGAAAUGCAAAUUUGUUAUGUUUAGAGUAAGUUUCAUGGCUGGGGCUUUUAAAAAAAAUUUUAAAUCAACCUCAUAUUUGCUCUCCCAAAAAGAUGGAAAGUCUCCCUCUUUAUUUAAGUGUCUUAUCUUUUCUAGUGAAAAUUAAAAUAACUAUCAUUUUACUAAUCAUUUAUUUUCCCAUUUAAAAUAACUUCAUGUCUCUACCAGAUACAGUUUUUCUUGUACAGAGUGCUAGAGUGAAAGUCAAAUUCACAAUCUUGUGAUCCACCCUUCUGGGCAUCUAGGGAGAAAAAAUAAACAACCAACAACAUAUAAAAACAUACUGUGACAUUAAAAUUGUAUGACUACAGGGAGGGUGUUGUGGGGGGUUACCUAUUUUCCUAGUCACCUGUGAAGUCCUGGCAUGUUAGGGCAGCCAGUGAGGGAUCUUCAUAAGAGGCUCCAGUGGAUCUUCAGAAGGAAAAAAAAAAAAACAAGAUAUAUGGGAGCUGCCUUGUAGCCUUAGGACUGAGACUUGUCAAUAAGAAGCACAGGGAAAAAGACUAUCUUUUACCCUUCCUACAAGAUCCAGUAUGGACAGGG
RNAcentral lists this long non-coding RNA (972 nucleotides) under Homo sapiens (human). Its description in RNAcentral is "non-protein coding lnc-GSDME-3:6". Lineage: Eukaryota; Metazoa; Chordata; Mammalia; Primates; Hominidae. The record is from RNAcentral.